AUGGAAAUGCCAUGUCAGGUGCACCUAUCAGAAUCAGAACAAACCAAUUAAUAAAUCCACCUAUCAUCGUGGUCUAUAGGCCGACCGUACUUGUGA
This 96-nucleotide ribosomal RNA is filed under the name Triticum aestivum (bread wheat). Its description in RNAcentral is "partial small subunit ribosomal RNA". The record is from RNAcentral. Lineage: Eukaryota; Viridiplantae; Streptophyta; Magnoliopsida; Poales; Poaceae.